This is a long non-coding RNA of Ipomoea nil (Japanese morning glory), 290 nucleotides long. RefSeq lists it as uncharacterized. The transcript is spliced from 3 exons. The record is from RefSeq and is a predicted model, not a curated record. Lineage: Eukaryota; Viridiplantae; Streptophyta; Magnoliopsida; Solanales; Convolvulaceae.
UGCCCAUCCCAUGUGGGAUGGGCAAGAGAAGAGAAGCCUGGGGCUUCUUUAUUUAAAGAAGCCUCAGGCUUCUUACUGAUUAGUUUAAUUUUUUUUUUUUUAAUAAAAUGGAGGGUGUUUUGGGGAAGGAAAAUCCUUCCCCAAAACGCCAAUCCCAAACGCUGCUCCUAGCAGCGUUUGGGAUUUCAGCGGUUUGGAGCAAACCGCUGCUCCAAACCGCUGAUAACCAAACAUGAUUUUUUGGCGUUUUGACGAAAGUCAAAACGUCAAAAUGCUAAUCUUGAUCAAAU